RNAcentral lists this unclassified non-coding RNA (154 nucleotides) under soil metagenome. RNAcentral's name for it is "partial internal transcribed spacer 1". The record is from RNAcentral.
ACGAGUUUUUGGAUCUAACGAUCCGACUCCCACCCUUUGCGUAUUGACCUGUUGCUUCGGCGGGACGUUCCUUGUGGACCGUCGGCUCUGCGGGCGAGAUCCCGCCGAAGGACCUUAAACUCUUACAUGUCGUCUGAGUCUUUUUAAAAAAUCA